GAAGCAUUAUUUCUCUUUCCGUUUACAACUUUUUCUUUUCUUUUUAUUAAACUUUCUUUCUCACAAUAGUAUCUUUUUACAUCAACAAUUUGCAAUCCGAAGGAUUGAAGACAAUGGCUUUUCAGAUUGCGAAAAGAUUCCUUGGAGGCGGCGGUAAUUCAGUUGCACCGUCUAUUAGGUAUUUGGGUCGGACCUUCACUUCCGCAGCUUCCGAAUCCAACUUGAUCCGCGCUACUCUUUUCCCCGGCGAUGGUAUUGGCCCUGAGAUUGCUGAGUCUGUCAAGCAGGUCCGCUUCUCCUUUCUUCCUUUAUUGCUUCUGAUUUCUCUUGAUUUCGAUGGGAAUAUUGCGUUCUUUUGUUGUUUCCCUAGACUAGAUAUAUAUAAUUAGAUGCGGAUUAAUAUUCCCACUGCUUGCUUGCAGCAUCUGUUAAAAGAAUAAAUCAGAAUUUUGUUGCGUCAAUGUUUUAUUGUUCAUCCACUCUUUUUUGCCUCUAUUUUCUUGUAACAAAUUUGCACUUCGGAAUAUUAGAUAGUACUUGGUAGGUUGAACCUCUGGUUUGGCCGCUGUCUCUCCCUGUUGCACUCGCUAAAUGCUCCCUUUUCAUAAUUCUUGUCCAAUGUUGAAAUAGAAUUUUGGCCAAAGCAAAAUGUUGUAGCGUCAUCAUUUAUCUUUUUUGAUAAGAGUGAUAACCAAAAGGCUGUCUUGAGAUAAUGCUGUAACCUUUCUUCAUAAGGGUUGGACAUUUCCUCUUGUCGCGUGUUGUAAGUUUUUCUUAAUUUUAUGGUAAGACCCACUUGUGGGACUACACUAGGUAUGUUGUUUUUGUGCUUUAGUCCGAGGGUCCUUCCAAAACAGCCUCUCUACUUCACAAAGGUAGGGGCAAGGCUGUGUACACACUACCCCUACAGACCCCACUUUUGGGAAUAGCAUUGUUUUUGUUGUGCUUAUAUUGAUACUCGUACUAAAUCAUAAUUGCAGUAGAGAAAAUGCACUCUUUGGUACCACUACUAUAGCUUCUCUUUUUUGUUUUGGAUGAAAGGACAUGCUACUUCCCUUGUUGAUUAUGUUUCAGAUUUUCUUAUCAUCAAGUCAAAUCAUUUAGUAUUGAAAAGGACAAAUAAAUAUCCUGUCCUUAUUAAUUUUAUCAAGAUGUGUGAGUGUGGCAAAGAGUUCUUCUGCUAAUCCUGCCCGGAGGUUCACGGGCAUUAUGGUUGGUUAUAUUUUGCUAUUUUGCUUGGCAUUUUUCUUCUUGACUGUCCAUAAUAAUGAAAGUUGAUGUGUAAUCCUUUUGCAUUUUCUGGAUGCUAAAUGAAUAAAAGCUUCCUUGAUUUUAAAAAAAGUAAAUAAUGGAAGCUAAUGGUGGAUGUGCUUCCCUCAGAGACGGAUCCAGGAUUUAAAUUUUAAGGGUUCAACCUUUGAGGUUUUUAGCAUUGUCCCAAUUGUACUAAAAAAUCAUGGGUUUGUGUAUACCAUUUGUUGCAUUUUUCGUGAAGCUUUAAACAUAAGUUUAUGCUCUGCAUCGGAAGCACCGGGUUCAAAUGAAUCCGGUAUCGAUACUCUGCCUCUGACUCCCCUUGGAACGAGGCUUUCUAUUACUUAAAAUGUUGGGUUAUAAAUUGCUAAAUUCUAUUGAAUAGUACAGAUAUUCAAGGUUGCUGAGGUACCAAUUGAAUGGGAAGAACACUAUGUGGGGAAAGAGAUAGACCCUAGAACCAACAGUUUUCUAACAUGGGAAAGUCUUGAAUCAGUGAGACGGAAUAAGGUUGGUUUGAAAGGGCCAAUGGCCACUCCUAUUGGAAAAGGUCAUCGUUCCUUGAAUCUUACAUUGAGGAAGGAGUUAAAUCUAUAUGCCAAUGUUAGACCUUGCUACAGCCUACCUGGAUACAAGACUCGCUACGAUGAUGUGAAUCUCAUCACCAUUAGAGAAAACACCGAAGGAGAGUACAGUGGUCUUGAACAUCAAGUAAGUAUCUCUCUGUAUUAUUUAACAGAAAAUAGCUUAUUUCUUGAGAUCUUCAAAUUCAUAUGCAUUUGGUAUCCAGGUAGUAAGGGGUGUGGUUGAGAGUCUCAAGAUCAUCACCCGUCAAGCAAGUUUAAGGGUUGCAGAGUACGCAUUUCACUAUGCCAAGACCCACGGAAGAGAGAGAGUGUCUGCAAUUCACAAAGCCAACAUCAUGCAAAAGACAGACGGUCUUUUUCUUAAGGUCUUUCCUUAUGUCAGGUGUUUCGUUAUAGUUAUAUGUUUUAUGAACUAGCACUAUGGAGUUGACUUUCUUUCUUUCUAUCCAGUGUUGCCGAGAGGUUGCGAAGAAGUACCCUGAGAUAAAGUAUGAGGAAGUUGUCAUUGACAAUUGCUGUAUGAUGGUAUGAUCAAAGAUCAAUCACUUCAUUGUGACACCAGUCUUAUAGAUCUUCAUCUUAAUGAACAACCAUGAAUAAGUUCAAGAAUGUUUUAACAGUAUUGGACCGAGCCUCAUUUUAUAUCGGAAACAACCUCUCUACUUCUUCGGAGGUAGCGGUAUGGACUGUGUACAUUUUACCCUCCCCAGACCUCACUUUGUGGGAAUACACCGGGUUUGUUGUUGUUGUUGUUGUUGGACCAAGCCUCAUUUUAAGUUUCAUAAAUACUAUUUAGAAAAUUGAGGUGAAAUAACGUACUUCCUUUUCAUGCAUACAGCUUGUUAAAAAUCCAGCACUUUUUGAUGUUCUGGUGAUGCCUAACCUUUAUGGAGAUAUAAUCAGUGAUCUUUGUGCCGGUUUAAUUGGUGGUUUGGGCUUAACUCCUAGGCAUGCCUUUUUUCCUUUAAACCUAUCUGUUCCCUUGUGAGUUCAUUUUGUCUCGUUAUUCCUAAUGAUGUUUCUCCUACAGCUGCAAUAUUGGCGAGGGAGGUGUUGCUCUUGCUGAGGCCGUGCAUGGUUCAGCACCUGAUAUUGCCGGAAAGGUUUGUAUUUAAAUAGGAUAUCAUGUCCCAAUGCUUCUAUAAUCAGAAUCUCAUUUAACCAUCAACUAUUACAACGUUCAAUCAAUUAUUGGGUGGGUAUCUUGUAUCGCUCCCUAAAUAGAGGUCAACUUUUUGUGUCAUUUCAUAACUUUGAUGUUAAAAUAAAUAGUGAUUCAACGAUUUUUAAGCACUGAUAUUUCACUCCAUUCAAUUUUUAUUUAUGUACAACUCCAUUCAACUUGGGCACACUUACAUGCAUUCAUAUGUGCAUAUAUAUACAGACACACACACAUAUAUUUACACACAUGUGUGUUUUAUGUAUAUGUUUUGUAUUUCCUAUCUUUAUCUGAAAAAGUAACUUUAACAUUUCCUAGUUAGAAUAUUUAUAGCUGUAGUUACUAUUAUUUACUUUUUUGAUGUAGUUUUGCACUCACAUCGGGUAGGCUAAAUCAGCUUGCAGUCUAUUGAUGUGAACUAUAGGAGGAGUAUUUUCCAUUUAAUUUGUCAUGAUGCCCUUCAAUCCUAUUAGUAAUAAAUAAUGAAUGCACAAUAAUACAUAUUGGUGAUUAGUUUACGUUGAUAUCAGGCUUUGCUACUGAUGAGAACAAAACACACUAUAAAAUGAGUUCGUACUGCGUCAACUUCAGUAUGGAAAAAUAUCGUCUCCACAGGGAUUAGUUAAACAAUGUUCAAAAAGUUCUUGGCUUAAUGCUAUUUAGGAGAAUAAACAUUUAGAUUGAGAUGGUUAUAAACCAAAAGUAACUGACUUAACAUGUUAAUUAGUAAAAUUGAUCAGGAAAACUGAGAGUUUAGAUACAACAGUUAAUUAUCAAUUGAAGUAAGGGUUUACAAGACAUUUAUGACAAUUAUUGGUAUUACUGGUAAUAGAGCUCUUAUUUUUGUUAUGAUGAGAAUCAUAAUAUGAUCUCAAAAAAGCUUAAUCUCAUAUCUUAGCUGCAAUUUGAGUUCUGCUACUAUGUUAAGAUUCAAUGCGAUAGGUUUAUAUGUCUAAAGCAUUGUUUGGACAGGCAACACAUAAUUAUGAAGUGUUAGUCUAUUGGUGUUAUUAUUGAGGCAUUUUUAUGGAUGGUUGUCCAUGUAUCUUCACGUAUUCUAUUAAUAUUAUUAUUACAAAAAUUCAAAUAUAUAUAGAAAUAGAUUAACUAUUGUUGAGAUCUCUGUCAACUGGCACUAUAGAGAUUCUUCUGCAUCUCACUAUAACUACUGAAUUUAAUAACGUUUUGGGCUCUUCACUUCUUAACCAUAGCUUAAAUCAUUCUUGGCUGCUGUCUACCAUAGGAUUCCAAAAGCAAUUCUAGUUUUCAUGCACCAUCCUAAUGUCUUAAAAGAAUCUUCUUUGGUUAAACAUCUUGAGAGGUGUUACCGAAGCAUGCCAUCAGAUUGUACAAUUUCUUGAGUUGGUCAAUCUUCCGAUUAAAAAUUGCUGGAUGUGUUUUGAGCCGCAAAUAUGGAUUUAUUUGCGCGUCUCUAUUUGCCUUGGUGAUGGAUGAACUGACACAUCAUAUCCAAGGAGAGGUGGCAUGGUGUAUGCUGUUUGCAUAUGGCAUAGUUCUAAUUGAUGAGUAUGGGUGCUCAUGGUUUGGUGAAAAACCAAACAAAAACGUGAACUAAGACAAACCGAUUAUAAAAAAACCUACAGUUGGUUUCAUUUAGGUUUGAACUUUGAAAAAUGUCAAUAUUUGGUUUAGUUUUGGUUUUACUAAAAAAAAUAAAAAAAGGUUACCAAAUCAAACUGAUAAAUUAUGUACAUUAAUUUCAUAAUUAUUUGAAUAUCAGAUAUUAUUUUUUCAUAAAUAAUUAUAUGUAUUUGCCAAUUUCAAAAAUAAAUAAUUAUGAAUAUUUAAUAUCUUUUAAUCAUUAAAUUGAUUUUAGUUUACUUCUUUCCCAUGCACUACAACACUUUUAAAUUUCAUUUCUCAAAAAAUAUGCUUAAAUCUCGCACUCCUAAGUCUAAUUAUCUAUAUGUGGUGUGGUGUUGCCGGUUUUUAAUAAUUUUUACUAAGACAUCCAUUUACUUUUCGAUGACUUUCUCCUUUGAUUUUUGAAGGUUUGACCAUUUUAUUUAAAGCUGUAUAUUAACUCUGUGGAUGUUUACACAUGUGAAAUGGAGUAACUUUUACAAUUAUGCAACUAUUAAAGAUUCAAAUACAUUCAUCUUGUUGAUAUAUUUGUCUCAUGUCUCCAUUAUUUUAUUAUUAUCAAUUUAUCAUUAGCUAGUUCUUCUAAAAAAUUUCUGGUUGAAAAAAGAUCCUUUUAUGGAGGUUGUCAAACAAAGUAGGCAGGUUGACUUUUUAGUGAAUCCUUUUUCUGUGUAUCAAUUUAAAAUGAAGAAAGUCAAGGCAAUUUCACAGUGGAGCAAAGCAACAUUUGGUAAUAUCUUUCAGGAAAUUGCCACUUUGGAGGAGGUGAAUAAAGUGCAGGAAAUGCAAUUUGAGAGGAAUCCAUCAAGUGCAAAUAGAGAGAUUACAUGAAGCUCAGGCAAAACUGAACAGAUACUUACACAGAGUGGAGGAGUUUUGGAAGCAAAAAGUAGGAAAGGAGUGGUUUAAAGACGGGAAAGGAACACCAAAUUUUUUCAUACUGUAGUUAGUGGGAGAAGAAGCAGAUUGAGGUUGACUAGAAUACAAUAUGAAGAAGGGGAAUGGUUGGAACAACAGGAAGAUAUUGCAGAAGCAACAAUGCAAUUCUAUAAAGACCAAUUCAAGAAACAACCACGUAGUACCAAUUUUGAUAUGCUGGAUGAGCUACCCACUGAAAUAGGAAGUGAAGAAAAUAAUCAGUUGCAAAGCAUGCCAACUAAGGAGGAAGUACAUGAAGUAGUCUUGGGAUUAAAUGGAAAUAGUGCAAGUGGGCCAGAUGGAAGCUUUCUAUCAAGAUACAUGGGUGAUAAUUGGAGAGGACAUUUACAAGAUGGUACGGUCUUUCUUCCGUGGAGCAGAACUUCCUAGGUUUGUAACUCAAACAUCCUAAGAAGGUGAUGGUGAACACAUUUUCUGACUUAAGAUCCAUAUCUCUAAGAAAUUUAAUCAACAAAAUAUUCUCUAGGAUCUGGAAGAAUCAAGGCAGUAUUUCCUAGGAUCAUCUCUAGUGAACAAGCUGGUUUUGUAGAGGGACGAAGUAUUGCCGAAAAUGUAUUGUUGGUACAAGAGAUCAUAGCUGAAAUCAGGAAAAGGGGUAAACCUCGUAAUCUGGUAAUCAAGCUAGAUAUGAUGAAAGCUUAUGAUAGAGUAGAAUGGUAAAUUGGUGUUAGUGGAAGGAUAGUUGAUAUGGUGUAUAGGUUGAUAGUAAACAACUGGUACUCAAAUCUUGUUGAAUGGUCAGCCUAAAGAAUUUUGCAGUUCAUCCAGAGGACUGAAACAGUUACUCUGCUCUUCUAGCAGCUGAGGUUCUAUCUAGAGCACUAAACUCUAUACCGAUGAAAAAAGAGUAGGUUUGGCAUGCCAAGAGGAAGCCCAGUAAUAAAUCACGUGGCCUUUGCAGAUAAUGUGAUAAUUUUGUGCAAAGUAGAGGCAAGUAAUAUGAAAAUGGUGGCUGACACACUGAAAAAGUACGAAGGAGCAUCAUGCUAGAAGAUCAACAAGGAAAAAAGUGCCAUCGACAAGCAUCAUAAUGCAUCAGGAAGGGAUGUGAUAUUAGCAGAAGUAGCAAGGGGCAUACUAAGGAAAGACUUUCCCUUUACCCACUUAGGGUGUCCUAUUUUCUACAGGAGAAAGCAAAAGGGUUACUACAAUUAGAUGAUCCAAAUAAUCAGCUCCAAACUACAUGCAUGGAAAGGAAAGUCAUUAUCUUAUGGCGAGAGGGCAAUUCUGAUUAAGCAUGUGUUUCAGAGUAUUCCUAUACAUUGCUUGUCAAUUAUGAACCCUCACUCAAAAUGUGUUGAACCAAAUUCAACAGCUAAUGACACAAUUUCUUCGGAGUAGCUAUAUUGGAGGUAAAGGUAGACAUUGGAUUAAGUGGAGGAAUUUAUGCUUACCAGAGGAAGAAGGAAGAUUAGGUUUCUGAUCAAUCAAAGAUGUAUCCAUGGCAUUGUUUCGUAAAUUGUGCUGGAAUUUCAGAACCUAAAACUUCAUUUGGAGUGAGUACAUGAAAAACAAAGUCCAUUGUAAUUUGGUAAUAUGGAAAAUGAGAAGGGGAGGAUCACAGGUAUGGAAGGAAAUGCUGCAAGCUAGAGACUUGGUAGAGCAUCAAAUCUAGUGGAACAUUAAAAAAAUGAUCCUCUAUAGUGUGGCAUGGCAUGAUAAUUGGACUGGGUUGGAAGAUUUGUAUACUUACACAGGGAAUGUAGCAACUAAGAAUGGAGAACUGGACUUAGAGAUACUGGGUGGAAUGUUUACUGCUGAGGUAGUGGAACAUAUGGUGCAAAAUGUUAAGCCACCCAAUCAAGAAAGUGAGUGUGACAGACCAUAUUUGAUGCUGAGUAUAGAAGGGGUGUUCAUAGUUAAGUCUGAUAGGGAAAACCCAAAUAAGAUAGUAUAAGUCGAUAUGGAUCAAACGGUUACCAUUCAAGAUUAUAUUUUCAUGUGGAGGCUCUGGAAAUUUAAAAUUUCAAUGGAUGACAAAUUGAGGAGAUGGGAAAUAAACCUCUAGAUGUUUGGUGCUGAAAUCCAAAUCAAGAGACACUAGCAUAUGUUUUCUUAAGAUCAUUUAUUGCUAACAUGAGAUGGUCCUACUUUUGCUCUUUUGCAAGAUUGAAUAUUGAAGGCCUUAGUCUAAGAGCGGUGAUCAUGCUAUGGUGGGGAACUGAAGUGAAGAAAGAUCUUAAACCAUACUAUAAAACUCUUCCAAGCAUUAUAGUAUGGGAAAUGUGGAGGAAUAGAAACAUUAGCCAACACGAAGGGAAGAGGUUGAUUGUUUUGAGGAUUAUUCAUAAUGUCGUCAGAAACAUACAUAUGCUACUCAGAAUGAGAACCUUCUAGGGAAUUGACGAGGAACGCUAAAGGAGCUAGAUGAAUUCAAACCUAAGGUGAAGGUCAUCAAAGAAUUAUGGGAGUUUCCCUAGAAGGAUGGGUCAAUUACAAUACUGAUGGAGCAUCCAAAGGAAAUUUGGGGGUAUGUUCUUAUGCCUUUUUUGCCUAAGAGAUGCUAAUGGUGAUCUACUAUAUGCAAAGGGGACUACUUCAGAUAACACUACUAACACAGUGACAGAAGCAACAUCUACCCUAGAAGCUAGUAAACAUUGCAAGUUGACACAACAUAACAACAUCAUAGUACAAACAAAUUCAUUACUUCUUUAUAAAGUUCUAGAUGGUGAGUGGGCAUGUCCAUGGAGCAUUACCAACAUGAUUGCAGAUAUAAAUCUCAUUCUUGCAAAAAAGCAAACAAAAUUUUAGCAUAUCAUUAGGGAGGGCAAUCAACUUGCAGAUUACCUAGCAAUCAUGCAUAUGCUACUCAGAAUGAGAAAACCUUCCAGGAAAUUGACCAGGAAUGCUAAAGGAGCUAAAAGGAGCUAUAUGAAUUCAAACCUAAGGUGAAGGUCAUCAAAGAAUUAUGGGAGUUUCCCUAGAAGGAUGGAUCAAUUACAAUACUGAUGGAGCAUCUAGAGGAAAUUUGGGGGUAUGUUAUGCUUUUUUUUUCCUAAGAGAUGCUAAUGGUGAUCUACAAUAUGCAAAGGGGACUAUUUCAGAUAACACUACUAACACAGUGACAGAAGAAACAUCUACCCUAGAAGCUAGUAAACAUUUCAAGAUGACACAACAUAACAACAUCAUAGUACAAACAAAUUCAUUACUCCUUUGUAAAGUUCUAGAUGGCGAGUGGGCAUGUCCAUGGAGUAUUACCAACAUGAUUGCAGAUAUAAAUCUCAUUCUUGCAGAAAAGCAAAUAAAAUUUCAGCAUAUCAUAAAAGAGGGCAAUCAACUUGCAGAUUACCUAGCAAAUCUAGCAAUAGAUAAAGGUAACUACAUUUUUGUGCGUUUUAACAAUAUGGAAACAAUAGGAAAGAAGAUCAUCAACAACGACAACCUAAAGUUUCCGUACGUAAGAGUAUCACCUAUUAAUGGAUAAUGGGGUAGGGAAGGCUAAAACACAAGGUUUUUCACUUGACCAAUAUUUAAAUAUCCACAAAGGGUUCAAAAAAAGUGAAAUGCUAUAUAGCCUACACUACUUCAACUAUCAAAAUGGACUCGGCAAAAUGGGAAGGUUCUAGGGUCGAUUUAGUAAUGAUAAAUUUGGAGGUUGAUUUGCUCACUAUGGGGUGGAUGUGUCGAGCUUCCCAUGCACUCAACAUCGAAUCCACCUGCAAAGGGAGAUUGGUCAGAACUAUACCACAAAAAUGCAAAGGGAGGAGUAUUGAAGCUUACCUAGUAGAACAAGUCCACUUCCGCUGACGGGAGCUUUCAGCAAAAUAUGUAAAACAUAUCCACCCACCGAAGAACACAGCUAAGAAGGAAGCAACAGCCAGUGAAAGAAAUCAAAAAAGACGGCAAAACUGGAGAGAAGAAUACUUACUCUUGAAAGCUGAUUUUUAAGCAAAUCGAGCUCCCAAAGGAAGAGUAUUGAUGAUCCAAAGAAAUGGGAGGAGAAACCAUAUGCAGCGGCAACAUUGCUCAGGUGUGGAGGUGUGGAGGGGCAAGGAAAAUGUUAGGUUGAAAGUGAGAAUAGGAAACCCUAUUUUUUGGGUAUAUGUAAUAAAAUGGAAGCGGGUUGGGCUUGCUUCCGGGUGGCUGAGUGGGGCUUUAGGAUUAUUUUAAAUUUGUUGUGUUUGUUUUAUUGUGUCUUGUUUUGUUUUUGGCCUGCUUGGCCUACAUGUUUGUACUUUUAUUUGAUUAAGUAAUAAAAGCCCAAAAUUUGAUCUAAAAAGAUUAUCUUAAGCAGUUAUAAACUGGAAAAAUCGAACCAAAUUGACAAGAACCAAAUCGAUGGUUAUUUUUUUAUUUGGUUUGGUUUUAGAAAUUUAAAAAUUGACUAAAUUGGUUUGAUUUUGAUUUUAAUCAAAAAUCGAUCCAAAUUGAACCAUGAACACUCCUAGAUGUGACAUGUGGUAGAGUUAAUGCCAGGUUGGAGGUUUGGAGAAAAGACUUUAGAGUCUAGAGGGUUCAAGUUGAGCAUGACUAAGACGAAAUAAAUGGAGUGCAAGUUCACUGACGUUAUUCACAUGACAGACGUGGAAGUGAGGACCAAUACGUAAGUUAUCUCCAAUAGAGGAAGUUCAAGUAUUUGGGUCAAUAAACCAAGGGAAUAGGGUGAUUGACGAGGAUGUUACACAUCGUAUUGGAGUGGGGUGGAUGAAAAGAGGAGGAUGUUACAUCGUAUUGGAGUGGGGUAGAUGAAAUGAGGGCGUGGUGUGUGAUAAAAAUGUGCUCCCAAGCCUUAAAAGUAAGUUCUGUAAAAUGGUGGUCAGACCAACUGAUGUAUGUAAUGGAGUGUUGGCCGGUCAAGAACUUGUACGUUCAGACGAUGAAAAAAAAGCAGAAAUAACGAUGUUGAGAUGGAUGUGUGGGCAUAUUAGAAGUGAGAGAAUUAUGAACGAAGAUAUUUGGGAUAAGGAGGAAAUGACCUUCGUGGUGGACAAGAUGAAUGAGGUGAAAUUGAGAUGGUUUGGGAAUGUAAAUAGGAGAUGCAAGCAUGCCACCAUGAGGUGUGAGGGCUUGACUAUAGUAUAGUAGAUAGGAGGAGGGGUAGAGGUAAGCUGAAGAAGUAUUUGGGAGAGGUGAUUAGACAAGACAUGACGCGCCUGGAAUUUACCGAGGGCUUGACCCUAGCCAGGAGGAUUUGGAGGCCGUAUUGUGUUUUUAACUCUCCUAUCUUAUUCUUCAGUUUUAGUGCAUCGUGGACUUCAGUUAUUAUAUUGUUUUUUGUUGCUACUGUUUUCUUCAUUGUUUUUAGUAUGGAUUGUCACUACUAUAUUUGCUUUACCUACUUGAUUUUUGAUAUGCUUUACUUGAGCUGAGGGUGUGCCAGAAUCAGCCUCUCUCUCUACCUGUUCAAGGUAGGGGUAAGGCUGCCUACACACCACACUCCCCAGGCUUCACUUGUGGGAUUACACUCUUAUGUUGUUGUAUAGAGUUGGUAUAAAAUCUGCCUAGAGAUGAUGAUUUAGGUUGUGGAUAAGUUGGAGACUGGUGAGGACACCUAAUAAAUUACCUAUUUUAUGAAAAGACGACCACUUUUUGUUUACUAGGGAUUGACAAGACGGGGUGGGGUGGGGCUGCCUUGGCUCUCUUAAGAUUUUGACCGCCUUGCCCUGCCCCAUUCAAUCUUUUUUAAACUGUUUUUUCAUUUUUUUUUCGUGAUUCACAUCCUUAUAUGAAAUUAGGCUCAUUCAAAUCUUAAAAUAAAAUUGAGACAGAAAAUUUGAUGGUUUCUGUAUCAGUACUGUUCCGCUAAUUAGUCCUGUAGCUGGAAUAUGAAAAAUCUGAACCUUGUGAACAAUUUUUUUAUUCUUUUAAAGAAAUGUUUUUCCAGAAGCUUUGUAAAAACAAUUUAUUUUUGUUGAUAUUUCCUAAAUGGAUAGUAUAAUCCCAUCCUAUUUGAAAUAAAACAGAGAUCUAAAGUGUGUCAAGAAAGCCAAAUAAACAUGCAAAAGUUUCAUCUAUGGAGAUAUACAAACAACUAACUAAUACAUUGAUGAAAGAAGAACUAUAAAUGGAUAACAGUUGUGCCUCCCCACCUGCCCUGCUCCAUUUAAAACGUUUCAAAACAAAUUUUGCCCUGCUCCGCCCUAAUUUCCAUUCCUAGUGUUUACCUCUAUGUCAAAAUGAAGUGAAGUGGGCAUCCAUUAAACCUUUACUAAUAUCUGUGGUACCUAAUUAACAAACAUGGACAUCCUUGCGUAUGUGCUUCUACUGAAGUAGCAAAUAAAAUCAGCAGCAUGCAUCUCCGUGCCGUAGGAAAUAAAGUGAGAGGUUACUGAGCAUUAUUAUUCUUGCCAGGCUUAUGUGUUUUGCUUUCUUUACGCACCAAGAAAUAGAGAAUUAUUUUUUACAGUUAUUCCUUUUCUUGGAGCGACGGGAGAUUCGAGCAACAUUAAAGUUGCCUCCAUGUGACCUAUAGGUCACACUGUGGAAUCAGCCACUGAUGUUUGUGUUGGUGUAGUCAGCCUGCAUUACAUCCCCUUGGGUGCGACCCUUCCCCCGACCUGCAUUAACAAGGGAUGCUUCGUGUACUGAGCUGUCCCUUUUUUUUUAAAAUUCUUUUUACAUUCUGCAUAUGAGGUCCCUGUUUUCCCCCUUUAUAGAACUAAAUGUUGAAUGAGAAGCAACUGCAAAAUAUAUUCUUGUCUUAAUUAGAGGAUUCUUAUUUGAAUUCUUUUUGGUAGGGCUGUGCAAAUUUCGGCUUCAAACCGUUAACCCGAACCGAUAAUUUGGUUAUCGGUUAACAGUUCGGUUUUUUUAGUUAGCGGGUCGGGUGUCGAUUUUAAAAACUCAAUUAACGGGUUAUCGGUUCGGGGCUCGGGUUCUCUAAAUUUUUAUCGAGCCACCCGAUAACCCGAUAAAGGUAAUACACCAGUACACCUAAUUACACACUGGUCUGGCCCCAAUUAUAAUUCCCACCCAUAUUUCCCGUUCCACUAGUGGCCCAAAUCCCAAGCCCAAAUUCCCACCCAUUACAAUAUUACAUUACCCGUUCCACACCCAGUCACCCAUUACUCAUUUAUGACUAGGGUUAGAGAAUAGAUUAUAGAGAUCAAAAAUCCAAAAUCUUUCAAUUUUCACUCUGCAGCUCUGCCUCACUCGACACUGUCUUAGCGCUUCUAUCUCAAUAUUCAGAAUUUUUGCUGGCUUCUCUCUCAAUAUUCAGAAUUUUUGCUGAAAUCUCAAUUUGAAGCUCAAGUUUUACUGAUAUUCUGUAGAGACCAAAGAAAUUUUUGCUUUUGCUCUCAACAGGUAAGAGUUUUUUCCUUUGCUCGAAGCCUCGAUCUUAUUCUUAGAAGUUUUCUUCUCCAUCUUCAAUUUCUGUCCAUGUACUCUUUGUGUCUUGCAGUAUUGUGAAUAUGAUGUUGGUACUGGUAGUGCUCCUGCAGGUGUGUGUGGUUGAAUGAAUUCUUGAAAGUAUUGUGAGUUUGGUUUAAAGUAUUCUUUUAUGUAUACAAGAUGAUCUUUAUGGUGUCACAUGAUCUAAUUUUUUAGUUCUCAAGUAUAACUGCGGAGAAACUAAGAAUUCCUAGAUACUAUUGAUGUUGCAAGUGCAAUAGCGAAAUGCUAAUAGGUCUGGGAUAUCUGCUGGACAGGAGGAACUGCUGUUGUUCUUAACCAUUUUUGUUUAUAAUGUGCACAAAUUACUGGCAUAGGAUUAAUAUUUUGAGCCUAUCUUGUUUCACUGCAAAACUGCUUUGGACUAUAACUUUGUUGUUUGAAGUGUGGCUGCAAAGUUGUUUCUCCACUGAUAAUUCUAUGCUAAAUAUAAGGUCAAAGAGAUUGUGGUUAGAUAAACAGAUAUAGAUACUAGUGGAGCCUAACACAUCAGAUCAGUGUUAAGUUCACUUCCAGUAUUUGUAGUCAUGUACUCCGUUCCAACAGAGAGUGUAUCAUGAUCUAUUUUGAUCGUUGAAUGCACCUUAUGCCAUCAUUUUUAUCCCUAUUAGUAAUCGUAAUCAUAUUUAGCUGAAGUGUGUGUAAAAGGUGUAUCCCUGGAAUAGUCAUUAGAUUUACAAUUUUGUUGCCAGGUGUCAGCCAUGUCACUUUCCUGAGUGUUUUUUUUCCUGGCGUGGUGUUGUUACUGAUAGUUCCUUUCUUCUUUGUGCCAUUUUGUGUAAUUGGUGUAACUGCAAGUUUUUGUUCAAAUCCCUGAAGGUCUUGACUGUAUGUAUUUGCGUAAUAGACUUCCCAACCAUUGAAGACAAACACUGUUUUGCGUGUGAAGUUCUUUAUCUGAUUUUGUUUACUGCUUGCUGUUGUGUUGCCAUGUUAUUUUGGGAUGAAUAAAUGCAUCUAAACAUAGUACUGUAUGUUUGGAAAAUAUUUUGAAUGUUAACGGUUUAACCCGAUAACCAACCCGAUAACAAUCAAUAAGCGAUAAACCGAUAUCUUAAUGGUUCUUUUAGCUUUAUUACAAACCGAUAAUCAAUAUGUAAAACCGAUAAACUUCAAAACCGAACCGAACCGACCGAUAUGCAGCCCUAGACUUUUUGGUGUCUAUGAAGACGACCACACCUAAAUUGGAAAAUGAAUUAAGGAUGUACAGAGUGUAUGCUUGACACACAUCCAUAUUAUAUAUAAUAUGCCUCCAGAGGUACUCUGUUGUUCAGCGACACUCAUUUUUUUUAAAUGUGGUUCACUAUCUUUCUCUGCCAUUCACUGGGCAUGCGCCCUCCACCCCCCCUCUCUUUUUCCUAUUAAUUGAUCUGUUUUGACCCAAAAUUAUGAUUGCAGAAUUUGGCAAAUCCAACUGCUUUGCUUUUGAGUUCUGUCUCCAUGCUUCGUCAUCUGGAGCUUCAUGAUAAAGCUGAUCGCAUUCAGGAUGCCAUCCUAAAAACAAUUGCAGAGGGAAAGUAUCGAACAGGUGACCUUGGUGGUACCGCAUCAACAACUGAGUUCACGAAUGCCAUCUGCGAUCAUCUUUGAACUUGUUGGUCCGCGUGUAUAUUAUAUUUUGCAAUGGGUUCAACUAAGGGGAUGUAUCUUUCAAAGAUGCAAUUGAAAUUAUUUUAUUGCUUUUGGCGACUUAACUAUAUUUCCUUGGGUUUUAUAGAAGUUUGCAUAAUGAUAUCAGAAUUCAUUCUCAAAGGAUAUGGAAUAGCAUCAACCAGUAAUGGGUGGCUUCCAUGUUAAUUUGCAAGGAAUAAGAGUUUCAUUCUAUCAUUAUAGGUUUUCAAUUUUCUUUUCCUCAAGUAUCUACAGAGCAAUGGCAGAUCUUUGUUGGUAUUCUUAUAUUGUAGGAGUUAUGUUGAACUUGGUAGGUUUUCAGGACUUUCAGUGGAUUGUUUGAUAAAUUCAAUGUCAUGCUAAAAUAUAAUGUACAUUUUGAUCAUUUACUGUGGACUACUAAAAUCUUUGAUGUCUUUCUGUUUGAGAUAACUAUAUUUCUGGGUGAUGGUGUAGAUGCGCUUGUUGUCAAUUGCUCAUGGAAAUUGUAAAACACAAGUGAACUGUCAAUUAAUUAAACCAUGUUAUUUUUUCUGGAACAUCAUUGUUGAGUGACAUCCAUAGUCAGCCCCUUAAGCUAGUUUAGUUUCGGCGUACGCUCCAAUGUUAAUAAAUGUAUGCCUAUUAAAUACUAUAUGACCACAACCCCAAAAAGUAUGCCGCGUAGAACUCACACCUGGGGUAGAGCAAAAUGAUGAAUGAAAUCAUACAUGUGGCAUAUGGACUCACAUAAUUAUUAAACAUUAAAUUUUGAAUUUAAAAAAGGGAAAAGGAUAUGGGAUGAUCAUUGUUUUUAAAAAAUGAUCCAUAAUUGAAAAGAUGGACAUGCUGUAGCCAGUCAGCUAAAGUAAUUGGGUUAUUCUCAAAUAUAGACCCAAAUUAGAGUGACUUUUAAAUUUUUGCCCCAAAUAAAAAGGCUUAGUUAAAAUAGCCUUAACUUGUUAAGGCAUAUUUUCUUAGACGAAAAUACCCUUCUGCAAGCCGUUAAAUCUCUUUCAUCCAACUUCAGCUUAUAUUUGAGAAUAAUUCGUUUCUUCCACAUUUCAGAAUCGAUCUCCAAAAAAUUCGUUAUUAAAUCUCUUUCUUCCAAAUUUCACAAUCGACUUUCAAACAUUCGUACUCGACUUUAGCCGUAAGGGUUCUUCAGGUAUGAAUUUCAUCAUCAAAAUUCAUUGUGGUAAUUUUAGCUUAUUGAUGCAUUGUGGUAAUUUUAGCUCGUUAUAUAAUUAACAUAUUGAUUUAAUUUUUGGGGAGGUGAACGUAAACUGAAGUUGGGAUAUGGUGUUGUUGUAGUAACAUAUUUACCAUUGAGGAAUUGCGUCGAACAGGUUAUGGGGAGUUUGUUAUUGCGGUUAUAAUUGUGUUUGAGUAGUUGUGAGGGGGUCGGUCUUGGAGGGAAAGGCCGUUAAUAUGGGAGUUAACAUUGAUCGCAACAGAUUUUGGGAAGACCAAACGCAUAAAGGUCAAGGUGGUACAAGAAAUUAGUUUCAAGUAUUUCAAACUAGUGGUAUAAUUAACAUUAGAAGAUGAUGAGGAAUUGUGUCGAACAGGUUGUGGGGAGUUUGUUAUUGCAAUUAUAAUUGUGUUUGAGUAGUUGCGAGGGUUUGGUCUUGGAGGGAAAGGCUAUGUUUUCCAUCUAGGAUGAAUCCAACCUAUGUUUUAGAGAUUAAAGAAGCACUUACUUGUUGAUUCUAAGAUAGAACACCUUAGCUAUUAGCUUGUAUAACAUAGAACAACAAACAAUGAAUUUAAACUCUCUAAUGGUAGUAGGAUUUGUCACUUUAGGUAACAAGGUUACUAUUAUACAACUUUUCAGUGUUAAAGAAAAUCCUUCAUUGUUGAACACACAUCAUAUUUAUAUUCAUUGACCAUUUGUUGUUGAACCAUGCUUACCUAGAUAUGUUGGAAUAAUCACUGGUGUUUCUGGCAACUUCUUUUGUCUCAAAAUCGCAUGUUUCUGUUGAAUCGUUAGAUAGAAUCUCCUGAAAGUCAAUUGCCCUUGCUCUUUUUCUGCUCUUUCUGGGAUGUCUGCUUCUCUUGCUGUCGUAUUUCAUAUUAUCCGGUCAUAUAGCAGGAGAGAGUUCCCAGGGAUAGAGGCUCCUUGCACUGGGAAUCCUCACGUUUCUCCUGGGUAAGUCAAAAACAUACAUUAAUAGAUACUACUUUGGAUCCGUAAGCUGUUAUUCUUUUGCUCAUAAUUGUUCGAUAUAUCCUCGAGGAGAGUGUCAUAGUUCAUAAAUACAGAAUCAAUUUGUGGAUGCACCAUUGAUUUGACAGCCUAAUUUACAGUUAUGUUAACAAGGUAACUUCCAUUGAAUUUGCAGCAGAAUAAUGAGAUAGCAAAUGGUAGGCUACUUGUUACUGUAUUUGUCCUCUCUGUAGUUGCUAGAAACAUCAUAUCAAGGUGAUUGUAGAUCUGCACUGAAAAUGGUCAUACUAAAUCGAUUUUUUAGGAUGUCCAUUACAUCUUGCAAACUUCUGCAAUAGAUAAUAGAUUCUACUUCGUCAUAUUUUCUCCGUUUUGUUUAAACAGUCUUGAGUUUAACACGCUACACUUCUAGUUGCAUAUUUUCUUUAUUCAAGUUUUCAUAUUCGCUUUUUUCAUUAAUUAAUUGAUUACACUACUUCCAACUAUGUUUGAAGGUUUCUAUGAGACGCUGAUUGCAUAUUACUCUUGGAGAGGUGCUAAAGGUUAUCGAUUUACUGCCAUCCCUGACUAUUGAAGUCUUCAAACUUCAUGUAAACUCUCAAUGUAGUUACUAGUUUCUAAAAUGAGUUUUGUUAUAGUUUGUAUUUCUCGCACGCGUUUUGUCCUUCACACUUCAAAAAACUUCUAAAUGCUGAACACGCAUCAUAUUUAUAAAAUUUUUUGGCUGUAUCCGGUGAGGCGAAAAAUAUAUUCAACAAAGCAUUAACCGAAAAUCAGAAAGGCAAAACAAAUACUAAAAUAAUAAGAUUCUUAGUUUAAAAACUAAAAUAAGAUUCUUGUUACUUUUUUUCUUUCAUAACUGCACUAAAAUACAUGAGGUUUGAAUCACCUAACUUAUACACAUAGCCCUGGAUUUUUAUUGUAACGUGCUCUCUUUAAUAUUGCUCCACUUCUCAAUAAUAGUCAAUAUAUCAUUUCCUUGCAACAUCAUACUAUCAGAGUAUUGAGUUGAUAAACUAUGUUGUAUCACUUGCAACCUAUCUCUGAAGUAAACAACCCUCUCCGAAUUACCCCUAUAGUAUGUGUUACUUAGUAGUUUUAGGUGCGAUUUUAGCAUCUUCGGAUUCUGCCAUAUAUUUCAAGUUAUGCCCCAUGGGCAAGAAUUGACACUUCCUUAGUCUGUAAUGAUUUGACAGAUGACCUAUAACUCUUGCUCUAGAGGUAAGACUGAGACAGUUAUGCCCCAUGGGCAAGAGUUGACACUGUCAUAGUCUAUAAUGAUUUGGCAGAUGAUCUAUAGCUCUUGCCCUAGAGGCAAGACUUUGACAGUUAUGCUCCAUGGACAAUAGUUGACUAUGCCUUACUCUUUAAUGAUUUUACUUGUUGAAGAUAUAUAUUCUAAAUUAAAUUGUUACUAAUCUUUUGUUGUUUCAUUUUUCCCAAGGGUUGUGCAUGAAAUGAAUGGAAAAGAAAUGAGUAUUGAGCAAUAUAAUAUGGAACAAUCAAUUGAAAUUAUUGAUAGAAAUAACGAGUUACAGGUUAUCGAAUCAAUAUUGGAGGCUGCAAUAGAUGAAGAAAUGGGGCAAUCAUCAAAGAUUAAGAGGGUACGACAAAAAAAGAAGAGGAUACUCUAUGUCGAGACUACUCUCUUGAGACACAAUGCCUCUUUGAAUGAGGUAAGUGUUAAGUCGAUCUACAUUGACAAACAAAAUAUGAUGACGUGCAUGUCAAACAUUGCAAUUACAUACAACAUCCAAUUUAAGGUUAUCAAAUCAAGCAUAGUAAGAUAUUCACUGCCAUGUUUGGACGACAACUGUGUGUAGAGAUUUCAUGCCUCGAAGAUUCUCAAUUCUUUGCUCUUUCAGGUUACUACAUAUGAAAAGGCUCACAGUUGCUCGGUUGAUUUUAUAACGUUCGACCACGAGAAUGCAAUAUCAAAGGUCAUAUGUGACUACAUACUAGAGCUUGUGUGUGACUCUGGUAACGUAAUCACACCAAUCUUCGUGGUAGAUGAAAUGAGAAGAAAAUACGAAAUAAUCAUAUCAUACAACGAAGGAUGGCGAACGAUACAGUAUGCCUAUACGGUGAUAAGAGUAACCGCGGAAGAGAACUACAACAGGUUGCCAUCAUAUCUUCACAUGAUGAAAGAAAAUAACCCAGACACGUACAAAAACAUAAAGAGGGACAAUGAGAACAGGUACAAUGCUAUACUGUUGAAAUUGAAAACUUUUACCCAAGAGGCAAAAGUUUAUUCUUUAAUUACACUGAUUAAAUUAUUAACAUAUAUGCAACUCUUGUCUCAUAGGCAAGACUUAGUUUAAAAAAUUAUUGAAAUUGAAAACUUUUGCCCAAGAGGGAAAAGUUUAUUCUUUAUUUGCACUGAUUAUUAUUAAUAUAGAUAGAACUCUUGCCUCAUGGGUAAGACUUAGUUUAGAAAAUUGUUUUACAAAUGUUAUACUGUUGAAGUUGAAAACUUUUGCCCAAGGGGCAAAAGUUUAUUCUUUAAUUGCAUUGGUUAGAUUAUUAACAUAUAUGCAACUCUUGCCUAAUGGGCAAGACUUAGUUUAGAAAAUUGUUGAAAUUGAAAACUUUUGCCCAAGAGGCAAAAAUGUAUCCUUUAUUUGCACUGAUUAUAUUAUUAACAUAGAUUGAACUCUUGCCUCAUGGGCAAGACUUAGUUUAGAAAAUUGUUGUACAAAUGCUAUACUGUUGAAGUUGAAAACUUUUUCCCAAGGGGCAGAUUAUUAACAUAUAUGCAACUCUUGCCUAAUGGGCAAGACUUAGUUUAGAAAAUUGUUGAAAUUGAAAACUUUUGCCCAAGAGGCAAAAAUUUAUCCUUUAUUUGCAAUGAUUAUAUUAUUAACAUAGAUGGAACUCUUGCCUCAUGGGCAAGACUUAGUUUAGAAAAUUGUUGUACAAAUGCUAUACUGUUGAAGUUGAAAACUUUUGCUCAAGAGGCAAAAGUUCAUUCUUUAAUUGCACUGAUUAGAUUAUUAACAUAUAUGCAACUCUUGCUUCAUGAGCAAGACUUAGUUUAGAAAAUUGUUGUACUCUGAUUAUAAGCAUCAAAUGCAAAUUGUUAUUAAUAUUCUUUUGCUCAACACAGGUUUCAAUAUGCAUUUUUUGCUUAUGACGCUUCAAUCAUUGGAUGAACCAACUGUAGAUCGGUAAUAAUGGUAGAUACAAUAUUUUUGAAUUCAAAAUAUCGUGGUGUCCUCAUGAUAGCAAUGUCAAACUCUAAAUCUGAGAUAUUACUUUCCGCAAUCACCUAUUCUGAAAUGUUGCAUUCCCAGAGUACUUGGCAUUGAAACUUAGACCCCCUGCUUUGCCUUUUUUUUUCAUUUGACGGAGGGCAACAGGAUUACUGAGAUUGAGCAAUGUAAUAUUUUAUAAAUUUUUUUCCUACAAUAGCUCAUCCAUGUUUUGCAGAAAUUCAUUCCUCAUUGCAUAUCUUAAUACAACAUUUUAUUUUUCAGGGGAAUAUAAGGGCAUACAUACAUAGUACGUUCUUGUUCAAGUUUAUGUUUGUACGUGAUGCACGUACUCUCUGAUUACAUUUUCUGGUUCGGGCCUAUUGGGUUAGUGUUAUCUCUAACUACAGUUGAAAAAUUAAAAGAGAAAAAUAAUAGGUUCUUUUAGAAGAGGAAAACAAACUGUUCACUUAGUUGUACUAUUUCCAUUUAUUAUCCAUGAACAGGGGUUACUAGGAGAUGGAGCAACGAAAAUUUUGUAGCAUUUUUUUUUCUUUUGCAAUAGAUUAUCCAUGUUUAGCAAAAGAAAUUCUUUAUUGCAUACCUUAUACACCAUUCUUUCCUUUUGGGGGAAUAUAAGGGCACACUUAAUACGAUCAUGUUAACUAGUUUAUGUUUGUAUCUGAGAAUGCAUAGCUGAGAAAAAUCUGGAGAAAAAAAAGAGAAAAAAAAAAUCUAAAUAAAGGUUAAAGACAAAUAAAUUGAAAAAAGGAAAAAAAUAAAGAAAUAGAUAAUGGUUGAGAAAAAAGAAAAAGAGAAAAAAAUAAAAGGUUUAGACAAAUAAAUUAAAACAUGAAAAAAAAGUUAAAGGAAAAAAUAAAAAUUGAAAAUAAUAAAAAAUAAAAUAAUAAAUUUAAAGGAAAAAAAUAAAAAAAAGUGAAAAGAAAGUAGAAUAAUAAAAGUAAAGGAAAAAUAAAAAAGUAAAAAUAAUAAAAACUAAAAUUUGAGAGAUAAAUGAUUAUGGAAAGUUUAAAAAUAUAUUUGAGAAGUAGAGGGGCAAAGUGGUACUUUUAGUAUAUUAAAAAGUAAGGAAGACUAUUUUUCAAAGACAUUCUUAUUUGGGGUCAAAUAUCUAAAGUCACCCAUAUUUGAGUCUAUGACAUGCAAUUUCCUGGAGUUUCCUUUUUUAGCCAUUUGGCCCAAUUGGUCACAUGUAGUCUCUAUACUCAAUUGAUACACUUUUAUACCACAUUGAUACACUUUUAUACUAUAAUGAUACACUUUUUAAAAAAGAGAAAGAAAAUUCUAUGCAAGGACAUGCAGCCCCUAUAUCCAAUUGAUACUCUUUUAUAACACAUUAAUGCACUUUUAUACUACAUUGAUACACUUGCAGUGUCCAUAUACUCAAUUGAUACUCUCUUAUACUAGAUUGAUACAUUUGUAGAAUGCAUGUAAAAACUAUAUAGCGUCGUAUAAAAUAUGUAUCUAAAUAUUAAUUAUAGUUAAAAAUUGUAUAUAAUGUGUAUAAAAAUGCUAUAUUAUUAUAUAGAAUAUGUAUAUAAUUAGAAAUUGUAUCAUUAUUAUAUAUAAAUAUAUAACUUUAACAAUUGUAUUAUAUUAAAAGUAUAUGGUAUUUUGCUUUACUGUAUAAAUAAGUAGAACUAAACAAAACAAAUAGUAUGUUAUUUUAAUAAUGUUGGUGAAUGCAAAAUAAUUUGAAAAAAAAAAAAGCAAUUACUCAAUUGUUUAAAAGGAAUAAAAAAGAGUAGAAUUUAAAAAAAAAAAAGAAAGAAAGGAAAAAGGAGCCCGAAAAAGCAUGGGCCAUUAAGGAUGAAAAGUGACAGAAAGGGCCAAAUUGUGUUGUGCCGAAAGUUAGUGAUUACGUGGAUAUACCCAAAACAGAAAGGGCCCAUCCCUUAAUGGCUAUUUACUGAGUAUUUAAUUAUGAGUGCUAUUUUUGUGGUAUUAUUUUAGUUUUAGGUGCUAUUUUUGUCCUUUUCCCUAAAAAAAACUAUUGAAUAUAUUCAGCUAAUGAGCGCAGGUUGGACGAAAACUUUCUGUUUUUGGAGAAAGUGCAACCAGCGGCUGCAUGUGGUCAUUUGGGGCCGCAGUUGGGGUCCGAAAGUGGGCGUCGUUUGAAAAAGUUGCACCUUUUCAUGAAUCAUUGCUUUCUAUUUGAAACAACACUUUUUGGUUAUAAAUAUCUGAUUUUUUUCACAGGUUUUAGUACGAAAAUUUUGAAGUAAAAACACUAUUUUUCUUAUAAAAAUUCAAGUAUGAUAUACAAAUCGUUGAGUGAGUUCGUGAUUCAGCAAAUUUGAGGUACAACUAUUUGUUGAAGUGAAUUAUUUUAUUUUGUGAGGAUAUAUUUCAUUAACCUCGGUACUUGAGGAAAAUUUACAUGGUAUAACCCUAAUAGUGGGUGACUUUUGAUUUUUGAUCCCAAUAAGAAAAGUCUUUAAAGACUGGCUUUCUUUCCUUUAUAAGUAUCUUACAAGUACAAUUUUACCCCUCAAAUAUAUUUUUUAAAUAUUAUGAUGAAAAUAUAUUGAAACUUUAUUUAAAUUUUAACUCAAAAAUAAUUUAUUAAAAAUAUUUUAAAAUGUAUGGACAAACGCUAGCUUAGUUUAGCCAUAACUAGCACCCAACUCCGCUAAGGACCAUUUCAAGUCCGAAGAAGCAUUAUUUCUCUUUCCGUUUACAACUUUUUAUUUUCUUUUUAUUAAACUUUCUUUCUCAUAAUAGUAUCUUUUUACAUCAACAAUUUGCAAUCCGAAGGAUUGAAGACAUUGGUUUUUCAGAUUGCGAGAAGAUUACUUGGAGGCGGCGGUAAUUCAGUUGCACCGCCUAUUGGGUAUUUGGGUUGGACCUUCACUUCCGCAGCUUCCGAAUACAACUUGAUCCACGCUACUCUUUUCCCCGGCGAUUGUAUUGUCCCUGAGAUCGCUGAGUCCGUCAAGCAGGUCGCUUCUUCUCCUUUAUUCCUUUAUUGCUUCUGAUUUCUCUUGAUUUCGAUGGAAAUAUUGCGUUCUUUUGUUAUUUUCCUAGACUAGAUAUAUAUAAUUAGAUGCAGAUUAAUAUUCCCACUGCUUGCAGCAUCUGUUAAAAGAAUAGAUCAGAAUUUUGUUGCUUCGAUGUGUUAUUGUUCAUCCACUCUUUUUUGCCUCUAUUUUCUUGUAACAAAUUUGCACAUUGGAAUAUUAGAUAGUACUUGGUAGGUUGAACCUCUGGUUUGGCCGCUGUCUCUCCCUGUUGCACUCGCGAAAUGCUCCCUUUUCAUAAUUCUUGUCCAAUGUUGAAAUAGAAUUUUGCCCAAAGCAAAACGUUGUAGCGACAUCAUUUGUCUUUUUUGAUAAGUGUGAUAACCAAAAGGCUUUCUUGAGAUAAUGCAGUAACCUUUCUUCAUAAGGGUUGGACAUUUCCUCUUGUCGCGUGUUGUAAGUUUUUCUUAAUUUUAUGGUAAGACCCACUUGUGGGAUUAAACUAGGUAUGUUGUUUUUGUGCUUUAGUCCGAGGGUCCUUCCAAAACAGCUUCUCUACCUUCAUACGGUAGGGGCAAGGCUGUGUACACACUACCCUACAGAUCCCACUAUUGGAAAUAGCAUGUUUUUGUUGUGCUUAUAUUGAUACUCGUACUAAAUCAUAAUUGCAGUAGAGUAAAUGCACUCUUUGGUACCACUACUAUAGCUUCUCUUUUUUGUUUUGGAUGAAAGGACAUGCUACUUCCUUUGUUGAUUU
RNAcentral lists this long non-coding RNA (23565 nucleotides) under Capsicum annuum. Its description in RNAcentral is "long non-coding RNA (CANN_LNC003689)". Lineage: Eukaryota; Viridiplantae; Streptophyta; Magnoliopsida; Solanales; Solanaceae. The record is from RNAcentral.